RNAcentral lists this long non-coding RNA (4944 nucleotides) under Sus scrofa (pig). RNAcentral's name for it is "lncRNA (ENSSSCG00025025521.1)". Lineage: Eukaryota; Metazoa; Chordata; Mammalia; Artiodactyla; Suidae. The record is from RNAcentral.
AAAAAAAAAAAAAACAAUGAUAGUUGAGUCAAGAGAUGGUUGAGUCUAGGGUGGUUUCUGGGUCUCUAGCUUGAACAGCUAGGUUGUGAUGUUUGCUAGGAAAGGAAAGGUGGGAGGGGAAUAGAUGAAAGGAGAGGUUGGAAUUGAAAAUAUACACGGGCAAAUAAAUGAUGUAGGAGAGAUCAUGGGAAUCCUGCAGAAAUGAGGAAGUAUGGUGACUAAGCAUAAUCCUGGGCUGACUGAUAAAUAAGGCAGUGAAGGCUACUCCCAUUCAAAUGACUAGUCAGGCUGGCCUGACUUGAGUAAAGAGGCGUUUACAACUAGCUGAGAGCCUACAGGGAAACAAAAAUAAAGAUUUGACUUUACUUUCAUUACUCGAGGUAAAAUAUACAUCUUCUUUUGUUAAAAUAAAUCAUCAAUAGUUAUUAAAAGAUACUUCAUGAGUUCCCCUGGUGGCACAGUGGGUUAAGGAUUCAGCAUUGUCACCGCAGUGGCUCAGGUAGCUACUGUGGUAUGGAUUUGGUCCCUGAUGAAGGUACACAUCCAUACUUUAUACUUUAAAAAAUCCUGCUUCUGGAUCUUUGUGGAUUUACUUCUUUCCUCUCUUUCUCACCCUUUGUUUAAUUUAUAGUUCUGCUUAUCUUUGUCUUCCUUAUUUAAGAAAUCACUGGAGUUCUCUUGUGGCAUAGUUAGUUAAGGAUCUGGCAUUGUCACUGCAGUGACUUGGGUUGCUGUUGUGACCUGGGUUGGAUCCCUGGCCUGGGGAACUUCCACAUGCCACAGGCACAGCCAAAAAAAGAAAAGAAAUCACUAACAUUAUCCGUUUUUCAAACUCAUCUACAAUUUCAUCUUUUGUAUUUCAGCUUUUUAGUUUGUUUUCCAGCCUUUAUUUUCUUAGCUUGCUUUACAGAGACUAUUAGGAUUAACUGCGUAUUUUUUUAGUAUGCAUUUCAAUCACUGCAUAUUAAAAUGUUCCCUGUUUUGUAUUUCACUUCAGAUCUCUCCUGGAUUCAGAAUGUCAGGAAACAUUUAAUGGCAAACUUCCCCAGCUCAGUCCCACUCUAGGCUUGCCUUGACCAGGUUCCAAAAGAGGUGUGGUGGAAGAAACCUCAAUAAAAACGCUAAACCACUGACCUAUCCUGAGGAACCCUGAAUCAUCUGAUUGGCCCUAGAAUCACCCUGAUUUUCCAUGAAUCCUCCAGGCUAAGGUUAGCCCGGAAUAAGACCAAUGUCAAGGCCUGCGAGAACAGUGGAACAGGAGAGCAGCAUCCAAGAAAUGGGAAAAAAAGAUGAACUUUGCUCAAGAAUUUUGAAACAUACUCAUUUCAAAUUUAUAGUAUCUGACUCACAUUCCCAAAAGUUUCCUUGUGUUCUUUUAUUUAAGGUUUUUGCUUUUCUUUUUCUAAGCAUAUACAUGCUGCCUAAAAUUCCACUCUUUUUUUCUCCUUCCACGCAGAUUUCUGUCCCCCUUUUUCCUGCUAUCUGUUUCAUCACUAAGAUUAUAUGCUUGUGUUUUUUUUCUUAAAGAUUUCACAAAUGCUCAGUUUUUCUGACAUUCCACAUGUAGACCACUAUGCCAGUUUUUAUGUAUUUAAUGAUGUAAAUCUCCUGACUUAUAAUCAGUUUCAUUCCUGGUACAAAUUAUGCCUAUACUGCAUUGCUUUCUAAGUUAAAAAUGGUACAUUUAAGAAAAUAGUCAAUUUAUAACAGCUACUUUAAAAGGCUGAAGUAAUAACCGAGUUUUAACAGUGUGAAAUAAUAAUUUAAAACAUGGAAAGAGAAACUGCACCUGCAAGUCUUAGGCUCAAACUACACUUUCUCCCUAGUGAGAGAAAGCAUCUAAGCAUUUUUUUCCUGUUCUCUUCAUCCGUCCUUCAGUCUGUCAUUUAUGCUGCAAACAUUUAUGAAGUUUCUACCACAUGGAAGGCCCUGUGCUAAGUUCUGAUGAUACAAGAUAACUAGUAAACAAUCCCCAACCUCCAGGAGCUCACUUAGGGGAAGAAAGAUAUGUAAACAAAUUAUCUUAAUCAUAUAUUCAUAAAAAGCAUCCUUGCAUCCAGAAGACCACAGACAAUACCUGACAUAGUAGUACUUAAUAAAUAUGUGUCAAGAGGCCUAGAUCCCACUACUGUCUUCACCUCCAACCAGCCAAAUAGCCUCUGUCCUGUUCUGUCAUGAAAACUUGAUGAGUUAAUUGAAGUGGAAAUGUGUGUUCUGUUCAUUCAGCAAGCAUUUAUUGAGCACCUGUGUUCUGCUCUAUAUUGAAACUUCAAAAGUGAAUAAAGGAAGGUGCUUUUAUUACCAAUCAAGGAUUCAGCAAUGGAGACAGACAUAUAAAUAAUAAUUUGUGAUAAAGGCUCUAAAAGAAAAUAUAUACAAUAAGUGAUUGCAUGAAUGAGGGAGAGAUUCAUUUUAGCCCUGGGAAUCAGAGAGGAAAUGCUGUGUCAACUCUGCCUUGGGGGCCUGUCUGCAUCCAGGGAACAGACACCGUUGGGGUCCUCCCAGUAAGAGAACCCAGCUUGAGCAAGGACAAGGGGUUUGAAAGGCUGGUGCUUAUGCGCCAUUAUCUUCCUUCCUGAAAGGUGUGAGGAAGGGCCAGGUGGUCUUUGGUGGUCUCUUCCAGCUUUGGAGUAUCAGUAGUUCAAGGAACUGUCACCCUCUGAAUAUAUGAAAUAAUUUGUGGCCAUUAGGGGGAGUGGGUGGAUAUUUCUUUCUGUUCUAUAUGUUAAAAGCUUUCACAUCUUUAAUCAGAGUUUCUGUUUCCAUUAUCUAAAGAUGAAAUAUCAUUCACUGAAAAAAAAUUCAGUCCAAUAUUAAUAUUAUCUUUGGAGGAAAAGAAUAAAAACAAAAGCAGUAAAACCCUCCAGCUCUUCUCGGCCUGUCCCCAGUAGGAGUUACUGUCUGGUUAGGAUGUGCAUUCAUACCUAGAGAAAUGUAGUGUUGUUAGGGUUUAUAUUUUAAACUUCUUAUUAAAAUUUUCACCACAAAUGGAUGAUUUUGAGUAAAAUUUAAUUUUUUAUACACUAUGCUAGCUAUGAUUUGCUUGUCUAAUUAAAGUCUACCUACUGAUUGUACUAAAUUCACAGUAUUUUAAUGUGCCUUUUCAUUUCUAUAUUAAGAACAAAGAAGAACUAUGAAACAGGGAGAGAGAGUACAGACAGUCUUACAGUUUUGAUUAUUAAAACCUAUGGUGGAAUUUCUUGGAACCUGAUUCUUCCCAUAGCCUAAGUAAUCUGUGCUGGAAAUCACCAAAAACACACAAUAUUAUAGGUCAGUUCAGAGCUUUUUGGUUGAAUUUGUAUUGCCUGCUUCUCUAAAAAAACAAGUACACAAAACAGUAUCUGGGCUAUAAGAGGUUCUCAAUAAUUAUUUGCUGAAUGUAUUUUAAAUGAAGUCAGUCAUUGAGCACAGUCCUUAGGGUGGCCACUCCACAGAUGCUGAAGGGCCUGGAAGCAGCAGUGUCCUGAGCAGCAGCACUACCACCGUGGGAGGGUAUUUAUGAAGCUCAGAAACUUCAUUUACAGACAGUCUCCAUUUCAGUGCACCUCCUGUGCCUGUGUAGAUUCACUACUUUCUAAAGAUUAUUCAGCAGACACUUAUCUUCAUAAAGCUGUGAUAGACAAGCCCAGAAAUGAUUUAGUAUCAGAGGAAAGGAAGCUACCUCUUCUAAGUUGAUGUCUUUUUUUUUUUUUUUCUUGGCUUUUGUGUGAACAGGACAUUAAGGCAACUAAUAGUAACAAUUCCCACAUGUGUUCUUGACACAUCAACUCUCUGAAGUAAGGGCAAUGCUAGCUCUGCAAGAAAGGGUGAUUAUUUGAAUUUUAACAAAAUUAAUAAGACUAUUUUGGGAUUUGUCACAAGGGGAUUUGAAAUUUCUGCUGUAAAAUACAGAGGCACAGAAAAAGAAAGAUGAUGAAAAUACACAUUCUUGAGGACUAAAACUAAAGACAUGGAAAGAAAUUGAGGGAUUGGAAGCUUUUAAUCUGUGAUAGUGGGUCUCUGAAAGAAGGUCGCGUUUACUUAAAUAGCAUUAACAUAAAAUACGUAAUUUCAUAUUUGAAAAGGGGCAGUAAUUUAGUUAUUUCUUGCCUGCUAACAAGAGAUAAUUAGGAAGGGAAAACCAGUCUUAACCAUUGUAUACAGAAGGGAUUUUUCUAGUUGAUAACAUAAUGCCUAAGACAAGAAAUGAGAGCUCCAUGUGGCAUUCUUUUUCAUUUAUAUUCCUUUCAGUAAUGACAUAGAAUCUGUUCCGUACAUCUAUUUCAUUAGAAUUUCUGAAGCACCUGUCACCUAUCAUCAUCAGUUUAUAUGUAUUUCAAGUUUUCCCAGUGAACAAAUGUAAUAAUGCAGAGUCCAUAUGUCCACAUUGUCUGGGGAUGGGGGGAAGAUUCCACAUGGUUUUUGGAAUACCUGGCUGCACUCCUUUUCCCAUUUAUUGUUUGGAGUAUGUCACCUUCUGUCAAUCUAAUUACUUCUCUAAGAAACGGCUGUUCUCAGCUCACUGCAUGACAACCGCUGCCUUGUGAAAACAUCCCAGAAGCCUCUGCAAUCAAUUGAUCCACCCCACAAAUGUCACUCUCACAUGGAAGGCUGACUCCAGAUUUACAGAGUUCUCAGAGGAAAGAGUUUCUUUAGAUACGUAGCAGUAGAAGCUGGUGGUUUCAGUAGAUCCCUUGCCUUAUCUUGACACACUGAAUAAAUCUUUUGAAAACAUUGUCUGCUGAGAGACACUUACAAUAUAUACAUCCAGGACUUCUAACACCUGUAAAAGAAUAAUGAUUUAAGUGCCUACAUUACCUGACCAAUAACAUUUAUAAAAGAUCAGAGAAGCUUUCAAAAGCCAGCAACAGAGACUUUGAUUUUACUAGGAAAAAAAGCCUCGAGGAAUAAUGCUUAUUUUUCCAUUUAUUAAUCCCUUUAGUUAAUAUCAACUAUUUAUUACUG